ACGUUCCUUUCUUUACUCGACACUCAUUUCCGGACGUCGCAAUGGAAAAACACUAGACACUCCCGUCCUUCCUCGUUAGGCUAUUUCGUAAUGCACAAUAUACAUACGAGUAUCACGUGAAAGAAAGAUGAGAUCUGGACAGGCGCACGUUAUCAAGGUAGUACCACUGGUACUUAACCUAUACCUUAGGAGAUUCCCAAUAUAAUCAUUGUCACCAGGGGCAGAUUUCUUUAGCAAAGAAUUUUAUUCAUACGCGGAGGAACACAAUUACCGAGUCAAUUCUCGUUCGGUCGUUCCUAGUUUGCGAACGGUGUCACGUAACUUUCUACUUGCGCCGUGCAAAAACGGCUGCGGUCGACAGCAGGCAUGGAGACGGCCAUUCAGGCAUUCAGGCAGUGAGCCGAGGUAUAUCGUAUAAACUACAGGUAGAAUCGCGUAUGCUUUCCCAAGAGAGUCAAGAGUCCCGUAUUUUCCUCCCCGGGGGUCAAUUGUCAACCUCAUCUCUUUUACAUUUUUUUUACAUACCUUCCGGCAGUACAACAACGUCCCGAAUACCCGAUGCCAAAGCGCUAAAUUGUUUUCUGAUGUUUUUCAUCUGUGUCGUAACUAGAGUUUCUAGACGUCUUCUCGAUGCCUGUGCUAAUAAUGUUCGAAGGAGUCUACACUGUAAGGUUAUGUUGGACUGUCUGGUUUACCAGCUUAUCCUUCCUGUCGCAGUCUCAUGGAAACGAGAUCGUACGAUCCGCGCGCUCUCACUUCGCUACCGUCGUGACUGCUACGCUGGUAGAUGAAAAGAAAAGGAAAAAAAAAGAAGGAAGAUGGCGAACCUUAGGCUCCUACACCUUCUCUAUGUCUGAUACACGACAGAUUAGACAUACGUUAGAAAAUACUACAUGACACCGUACGCGAAUAGUACUGAGACUGGUACAACGUGAUUCCCUGCUGCAUUUAUCGACACUCGUUGGCUUCUCACUUCGAAACUAAUGGAGAUAUCGACUUCCGCUUGGCGCCGUACACGCUUUCUAGGGUCAUUUUGCGCUGACCUCUCCUGAGCCGUGUGUGCAAACAAUGCAAAUGAGAGUUGCGACUAUACGACAGCCAUUAGAGGUACCAUCCAUUUGAGAUCGUAGAACGCUUUUACCCGGUGUCUCGCCAAGUUUCCAUCGUACGAACCGUGACGUAUCAAUUACACCGAUGUGGGUCACUAUCGAAGAAUCGUCAGUGAGGUACAAAAUUGCAGAUAGAUUAAAAGAAGUCAUCGAUAUCCAAAAGAGAAAAUAACGUCUGGUAAGACCGUACGCAGCAAAUGGAAAAUUUCAAAGAGUCACCUCGCUCAUCUUGUUCGCGCGUUACGCGAAAUUACACGCGCGCCUGGAGCCUGCGACGGGCUGAGCUUGUUUACGGUACUCGCGUGACUCGAAGAGAAACAAAAGUACUCGACGGAGACACCAUGGAAAAGCUGACCUAACGCAAGACGAUACUUACGCCGCGAUGGCAAAAUAAAUAUUCGUUCGAUCGUCCAGCCUAUAAAAGAGAACAAUCUGCGCUUGUUCAAAGAUGACGUCAGCGCUUGAAAUCGCGUGAUAGGAAGUUAUGAGAAACGGCGAGAAAGUAACCAGGCUAAAGCGUCAUUCUAUUCCCUACACUAUGCAUUAGCGUACAGGGUAUGUACGGUCUGUAGCACCUAUCGAUCGACAUACCGUACCAACAUCGACGCUUGGACCUUGGCCAUCCUUCGUAUGCGUUCAUUCUUAUUCUUAUCCCGUUAAAUUAUAUUCAAUAGUCUAGUUAUACAAUUCCAGUCAACCUCCAGCAAUGUUUGCAGUAGGGAGCACGUAGUGCGUGCAAGAGUAACGGAGAAAGGCAGAAGGUUUCUUUGCAAUAAUGACAAAUCAAAGGAUCGGCUGCCAAUGUCGGUCAGUCGAUACGAUUCUGGGUCGCACGAGACUUCAAGCGUUAUUCACACGAGGACCGAGUAAAUGUUCAAGGGCAACGUAACGUUGAGUAUAUUUAAAGAAGUUCCCCCCCUCUUAUCAGGGGUGAAAGGAGGUGGAGAGCGGAAGCGAAGUGGGUUCAUUGAAAAAUCACGCGAAAGAAUAAUAAAAACGGCUCAGUUCGAGCGAGCAAAGUUAAUAAAAAUCAAUGAAAGGAUCAUUCAUAAAAUGCAACGAGUAUUUAAUAAUGCAAAUCGUUAGACCUUGUGCGCCUUACCUGGAUGACAGUGUUUACACUGUAUGGGAGCCAACUUCACGACGGAGAUGAAAAGUUCGAGAAGUGGUUGCGCACGCGCGACAAGGGCAGGGUAAUUUUUUUUAAACCCACCUACGUACACAUAACUCCAGCAGGAUGCAUGAACGUCGCAAACUGAUGGAUAUUAAAUUUCGCAUUGCCAUGCACGACGUAUCUCGAGGAUAGCCGCGUCGCCAGUGCAAUCCGACUGUAGAAUGCAGAUAGGUCGUAUCGCCGGUAGGGGGCUUCCGCGUGCGUUACAUUCUACAUUGAAGAUUGUAGAGGGAGUACUCGGAUGACCGUAGUUUUGUCGUCGGCGAUUGCGUAACGAAGUACGUAUAUACACGAGAGACAAUUUAUUCCGUAUCAGAGGAGGGUAAACGAUCGAUCCGUUGAUGGAAACCCGGUAGCGUCACAAUGACAGAUAGGCCCACUACGGAAAACGAUAGCAUACGAAAUGGCAACGGUACGAUAAAGGUUAGAAGACCAGCACGUGACCUGGACAACGUUACCGCAUUGGGGGAUACUUUCCGGUGGUCGAAAAAUAGUCGUGACCCAAAGCAUAUAUACAUAUACAUAUAUAUACAUAUAUAUAUAUAUAUAUACAUAUAUAUAUAUAUAUAUACAUAUAUAUAUAUACAUAUAUAUGUAUAUUGUACGCUUUAAUCAUAUGAACGCGAGAGAGGCAGUACCUACGGCUGACGAGAGAGACGGAUAUAUACAGUGACGUGUUGGUACGAGGGUCAGGUAAUGGACCGCCCGAGCAUUUUUGCGCUCAACAACAAGUCAUGUAUCGUAUGCCGUUUACGAAUGGCGGCACGCGAGCCAGCCGCACAACGAUUUCAAUUCUGUGUUCCGAGUGUGAGUCACGUCCGCGAAUAACCGAGUGACUGGCCUACGGCUCUAUUCACGCUGGGCUACUCCUUCUUCCUGACAAGGAGCGUUAUAGGGAACUAAGAGAAAUUAUUAUACAUAUGUUGAUACGAUCCAAGCUAUUGUUAUAUUACACAAAGUCUCCGGUCUCGAUCGAUCGAUUGGAUCAAUUAACUUUGGUAUGCUCUUCGAUAUCGUUGCCAGAGGACAAUGUUUUUUUUUCUUCAGUUUUUUUCCUCUUUACGAACUCAUCGAUGUUAUUACCAGGAGACCCGUGGUAAAUUACAAACGUGAGCAUCACGUGAUUCGAACAGACUCUCCGAACGUGGACAGAGGUCUCAGCCCUUUCGCUACUUUUACUCGUAACCUCGACGUGCUCGCAUUCAUCUACCGUAUCUCGAAUCUUCUUCAAACUGUGGAAAGAUGCUCAAGUUCCAGUUGGCUACUCCCGAGGACCGUAAGGUCGCAGCCUCCAUAGAACGCAGAAGACGAAUAGAGGAAGCAAGAAAAGCACAUAUCUUCGAUCCUCGUUCCAGGCGAAUUGGGAUCGACAAGGACUUCUUGGACAGGCAAAUAGAGGAAAAGAAGCAGCAGCGUCAACUGGAACAGGCAAAGGAAUGUCAAAUGGACGAGGCGUUGAUUCGUAGCAGCAAACUGGCGCUUCUUUACGAAAAGGAAGAAGAGGAGAGAAGAAAAAAAAUAAAUCAAGAGAUAAAUACCUUCAGGCAGGUUCACCAGCGUCCAGAAUGUCGUCGUGACUUCGACCUGAAUGACCCUGACAUCCUGAAAAAAUUAAUUCCAGUUAACAAUGAUGAUCGUGACUUGGGUCUGGCGUCGGCACAAAAAUUUGAAGGCGAAGACACCGACUUACCUGAGAGAUUGAAGAUUCAAAAGGAACAGAUGCAAUCUUGGUUGGAGCAGCAAAUUAUAGAGCGUCGCGCAUCAGAGAAGGAGCGUCGGGACGCCGAGCAAGCUUAUCAAGACGCCGUAGUAGCUCGAGAUAAGAGAGCACUGGAUCUGGAACGAAUGGAACAAGAAUGUCGGCGUAGAUUAAACGAAGCUACAUUAAGAUUUAAUUGUGCUUUGGCACAAGAACAGGAACAUAGAAGACGUUGUAUGAGUAUCCAAGAGGAGGAAGACAACCAAGCGGAAAUCUACAAUCAUGUCACGGGCGAUUUCCUUACCGAAGCCAAGGAACAGGCUGAGAGUAAUCGUGGACCCCAUAAACCUUUAGCUUCUCGUUACAAGGGUAUGACCUCGGAGGAACUUAAGAUCUUCCGGGACGAGCAGGCACGACAAAUGCAGGAAAUCCUUAAAAUUAAACUGGAAGAAAAGAAACAGAACGAGGACUGGGAUAAACUAAUGAGUAGCAACGCGCGAGCCGCUGAAAAUUAUCAACGCGAAUUGGACCGUAAGAAAACUGACCUGAGAAAGAAAAUUGCCGAAGAAAAUCUGCGACUGGCUGAACAACAGAAAUCCUAUCAGGAAUAUCUUAACAGAGUUGUGUACAAGAACAAGCCAAGUCCUGAAUUCUUUGAGCAGUUCAAUAAAAGCACCAGAUAAGUAUAAAGAUCACUAUUUUAACAAUGUAAUUUUACCUUUUCUAUGGUAUGUAUACGUGGCUUAUAAAAUAAAGUCUUGAACGAAUGUGGAUUCAUGUGGUAGAUUUAUUUGUUUUUCACACUUGCGAGAAAUGGCGUGCGAAUGGGAAGAGUCGUUGAUGGUGUUCAACGGCAUUAAUGCUACGGGUUAAUUUAAGAAUCAGUAAAUAAUGCAUGCUUAGUCACGUCCUCGUAGUACGAAUAUUAUACUGAUACUAUAGUACAGUGGCGACAUUCUACGGUAUAUAAAUGAAUCUACAGAAUUUGAAAGUCCACCAUAUCUUUUACCACCAUGGAUAAGGAAGAAUUCCAUGUGACAUCCAUCUUUUUAAAUGUUGUUCCAAGCAGCUUCAGUUCUUGCUGUCAAAAUUUACGGCAGUAUUGUGCAUACUUUUUUGCAAUAUUCCACCGACAAAUAUUUUUCUCAGCAUGAAUUAAAUUACACGUCUAAUAAGUUGGAUGUUGCUGCAUUGUAAACAGGGGUCAUGUUGAAUGAAAAAAUUAUGGGGUCUGAACGAGAGCUUGCAUCGAAAAUGAGCGUUCUUGGAGAAAGCUCAAUUACGCAAGAGUACUCUGCUAUCGUGGAAGCUCUUAAACAAGAAUUGAAUGUAUGCAAGGCGGAACAAACGAUGCUUCGAACAGAACUGGAGUGUCUUAGGAAGGAAACAAAGAGUGCUGGUGAUAUAGCGCAAGAAUGUUUUUCUCAUGGUCAAUGGGAGGGAUGUAAUAGUCAUGAAACUAAUAAGGAGAUGAUACUAAACCUACAGAAACGUAUUGCUAUUGUGCAAAUGGAAAAAGAUUCUGUUUUUCAACUUUGGCAAAUGGCAUUGAAGGCUGUGGAUAUUCUAGAGGAGGAGCUCAAAGUAUUU
Molecule: RNA transcript, 5572 nt
Organism: Cephus cinctus (wheat stem sawfly)
Lineage: Eukaryota; Metazoa; Arthropoda; Insecta; Hymenoptera; Cephidae
Gene name: nucleoprotein TPR
Exons: 10
Source: RefSeq, a predicted model, not a curated record